UGCUGCUUCGCUGACGAGUGGCGGACGGGUGAGUAAUGUCUGGGAAACUGCCUGAUGGAGGGGGAUAACUACUGGAAACGGUAGCUAAUACCGCAUAACGUCGCAAGACCAAAGAGGGGGACCUUCGGGCCUCUUGCCAUCGGAUGUGCCCAGAUGGGAUUAGCUAGUAGGUGGGGUAACGGCUCACCUAGGCGACGAUCCCUAGCUGGUCUGAGAGGAUGACCAGCCACACUGGAACUGAGACACGGUCCAGACUCCUACGGGAGGCAGCAGUGGGGAAUAUUGCACAAUGGGCGCAAGCCUGAUGCAGCCAUGCCGCGUGUAUGAAGAAGGCCUUCGGGUUGUAAAGUACUUUCAGCGGGGAGGAAGGCGAUAAGGUUAAUAACCUUGUCGAUUGACGUUACCCGCAGAAGAAGCACCGGCUAACUCCGUGCCAGCAGCCGCGGUAAUACGGAGGGUGCAAGCGUUAAUCGGAAUUACUGGGCGUAAAGCGCACGCAGGCGGUCUGUCAAGUCGGAUGUGAAAUCCCCGGGCUCAACCUGGGAACUGCAUUCGAAACUGGCAGGCUAGAGUCUUGUAGAGGGGGGUAGAAUUCCAGGUGUAGCGGUGAAAUGCGUAGAGAUCUGGAGGAAUACCGGUGGCGAAGGCGGCCCCCUGGACAAAGACUGACGCUCAGGUGCGAAAGCGUGGGG
Molecule: ribosomal RNA, 692 nt
Filed under: Enterobacter sp. MD04
Lineage: Bacteria; Pseudomonadati; Pseudomonadota; Gammaproteobacteria; Enterobacterales; Enterobacteriaceae
Description: bacterial SSU rRNA
Rfam family: Bacterial small subunit ribosomal RNA
Source: RNAcentral